RNAcentral lists this unclassified non-coding RNA (306 nucleotides) under Hevea brasiliensis (rubber tree). Lineage: Eukaryota; Viridiplantae; Streptophyta; Magnoliopsida; Malpighiales; Euphorbiaceae. The record is from RNAcentral.
ACCUCCCUUAACAACUCCUAAGUGAGCUUACUGCUCCCUAGAAAUUUAGCGCCUAUGCUAACGUGCAUCCAGUCAACACUGCACCGACUCUUUCUGGCCGUUACGCGAACAGUUAGAUGCAUAUGCUAGCAACGGCCCCCGGUGCACAUUAGCAUGAUAUUAACAUCUAAAGAAUUAUUCACUUGGAAUUUGUAGAUUUUUUUUACACACAUUAAGUAAACACGAAAUAAAUAUUAACAGAGAAAUGGGACUAUUAAAUUCUAAAAUGCUUUACGAAAUUAGCUAAAAAUUAAAAAAAAAAAAAAA